Psammomys obesus (fat sand rat) is the source of this 1205-nucleotide long non-coding RNA. RefSeq lists it as uncharacterized. Lineage: Eukaryota; Metazoa; Chordata; Mammalia; Rodentia; Muridae. The transcript is spliced from 3 exons. The record is from RefSeq and is a predicted model, not a curated record.
AGACAGACAGACCUACACACUCAAACUCUCCCUCAUACACGCGGUGUAGCAACUGAGUGUGAAGCAGAUACAGGUCUGAGGGUGGCUCCUUUCAUACCCGGAAUCCCUGCACUGGAAAGACAUUUUGAGUGUCAUAAGUAAAAAUCUGACAAGAAACUUCAUGUGGAAAGAAUGUCCCACAACUGCAAAGUAAUGACACCAGCCAGCUUAUACAUACAGAUGUUCAUGUAUCGCCGAUACCCACCCUCCCAUGCAACAUGACCCACUGAUCCCCUCCACUCCUGGAUCCAGAAAGCCAGAGGAACCCCUUAUAUCGACUACGUAGCCAACCACCCAUUCACCCAGUGGCCAUGCAGCAUCAACUAUGUCUCAAACAGCACUAGCUAUGGCUCCGGGGACCCCACAGUAAGGGGCACCUUCUCAUGUGUGCAUACAGAUGCAGACACUCUGAGGUCAUGCCUAGUUGACAAAGGAAGAGACAGCCCUCUUAGCCCCAUUUGUACUGACACAGAUCAGACCACACCUGCCAGGUGCCAUUCAGAAAUGAGAGAAAACUGAAGUGCCCAAAAUCAGUAGAAGCCCAAGAUACCCUGUCAUCCAUCAGCCAACAGUGGGGGCCCGGGAGACCCCGUCAUCCAUCAGCCAGGAUAAGAGAUGCUACAUCCAAAGCUUGCAACACCCUAAUCCACCCCUUCUAAGAGCAUGUCCUUAGUAGGAGAUUUCAACUUGCCAUGUCUCCAUUCCCUCAACUGUAAAAAAAAAGUAGGUAUUAAAACAGCACUGAACUCACCAACUUGCUUAGGGAUUAAAUGAAACCAUGCAUACUUAUUUCAAUGCAUGGCAUGGCAUUCAUGUCUGAAAUACAACUCUUUCAUUUGGAAGCUAGAUCAUCCUUUUAACUGAUAAUCUGAAAUUAUGGGCCUAGAACUUUGGAGAGACCUAAAGAGUGUACCCUGCAAUUACUGGAAGGAAGUGUACAUCCAGAUAAGGGUGGGGUGAACCCUGGACCAAUUGUGGAGCUCCACAUUCCCCUAAUGAGCUGAGCUUCCUUUAGCACAGCUAAAGGAAAGACCCAAAGACCCCAAAUCUGGCUCUUCAAGCAGUCCCUACCUGUUUAGGCUUCACAUGGAACAAGAACAUCAGCAGGCUGCUCUAUUUAGCCCUUCUCUAUCUUGAUUUCCAUCCUGUUCCUCUUGCCUAUUAGC